This 505-nucleotide long non-coding RNA is filed under the name Cicer arietinum (chickpea). RNAcentral describes it as "long non-coding RNA (CARI_LNC002180)". The record is from RNAcentral. Lineage: Eukaryota; Viridiplantae; Streptophyta; Magnoliopsida; Fabales; Fabaceae.
UAAUUGUCAUUAGGCGAAGUUGUCAAUUACAUAUUUAAAUUAAAAACAAAAAGCAUAAAAGUGGUUAAACUAUUAUUUGCAAUAGACCCUAACAAUUUCCUUUUAACCCAUUUUUCCAAAAUAAAAAACAAACAAAACAACCAAUUGUUUAACCUCUCGGCAAAACUGACUCCCACAUUUCUCUUGUGAGUGUUUCUUUGCCUCCACUUCUCGCCACACCAGAAUGCGAAAACACACUUUUAACCACCACUCACCUUCUUGUUAGAAUGAAAUUCAUGCACAAACAUGGUAGACUUCAACACAUAUUUCGUAAAGACCAAAAUUGUGGAAGGGUCAAGAGUGGUAACAAUGACGUUAGAGAUGCAAAUAGUCAUCUUGUAGCGUCCACGACAAGAGUAUUUAACAAGAUACUUGGACUUUUCAAGCGGCGAAGGAGCUGAAUUAGUAGCAGAUUUUUGGAAACGGAGAAAAAUGCUAGUUCGUAGUCGGUGAACUAGCCUACAAA